GAUGAACGCUGGCGGCGUGCUUAACACAUGCAAGUCGAACGGAAAGGCCCAAGCUUGCUUGGGUACUCGAGUGGCGCGCGGGGGAGAAACACGUGUGUGAUCUGCCCUGCACUUCGGGAUAAGCCUUGGAAACUGGGGCUAAUACCGCAUAUGACCACUUCUACGGCGUUGUGGUGGAAAGUUUUGUGGGUGUGGGAUGAGUUCGCGGCCUAUCAGCUUGUUGGUGGGGUGAUGGCUUACCAAGGCGUCGCCGGGUAGCCGGCCUGUGGGGGUGGACGGCCGCAUUGGCACUGAGAGGCGGCCGAGGCAGCUACGGGGGGCAGCUGUGGGGAAUCUUGCACAAGGGGCGCCAGCCUGGUGCAGCGGCUCCGCGUGGGGGAUGACUGCGUUCGGGUUGUAAACUACUUUCGCAAGGGACUAGGCGGGUUGUGACGGUACCUGGAGAAGAAGCACCGGCUAACUACGUG
Molecule: ribosomal RNA, 467 nt
Filed under: uncultured bacterium
Lineage: Bacteria
Description: partial 16S ribosomal RNA
Rfam family: Bacterial small subunit ribosomal RNA
Source: RNAcentral